GAGCUCACUUCAGCAACGCGUACACUAAAAUCAGAACGAUACAGAGGAGAUGAGCGCGGCCCCUGCGCAAGGAUGGCAUGCAGAUUCAUGUUCAGAGGAGGGGGACUCUAGCUAUGUGUUAUAUUUUU
RNAcentral lists this small nuclear RNA (128 nucleotides) under Octodon degus (degu). Lineage: Eukaryota; Metazoa; Chordata; Mammalia; Rodentia; Octodontidae. The record is from RNAcentral.